AGACAGAACAUUUGCUCCAAAGCCAUUGAAUGGGCUGGGAUGGAGCAUGCAUGGUUUUAGCUUCAUCUCCCACAACUGUGGCUUUGUUCUGUGUUGGUGGCAGGUGGUUUCCAAAAGGAAAAGCUUUGGGAGAUAGAAGUCCUCGUUUUGACCUCUGCCCUCCUUGUACACCAGGAGCCAGAAAAACUUCAUCUCUUUUACAAGAAACAUUGAGAUUCCUGUAAAAUUAAGAAAUCACACAAUUUGAUGGUCUACAUUAUCUAAAGCAAAUGAGACUUCUAUUUGGAACAAAGACUACCUUGUUGGGAAAUGAGUCUGCAAGUUAAAGUGUUUUCUGGAUCCAGUAUCUGCCGGAGGAGCCCCACCUUCUGCUACUAUUAUGUUCUUCAGAUGAGUAGAAGAGAGUGGGGAGGGAGAGAGCAGGAAGAAGAAAGGAAGAAUAAUGUCUUGAAAUUGUUUUCUAAGGAUAAUGGUCUCCAGCUUCGUCAAUGUUCCUGCAAAGGACAUGAUGCUGACUUUGAAGAUGCAAGCUUCCACAUCUACAGCCUCAAGGAAACAAAUUCAGCCAACCAACUGAGGGAGCUUUCCUUGUCCUGCCUCAAGAUGAGAUCACAGUCUGCCCAACACCAUGAUUUAGGCCUUGUGACACCUGAGCUCAGAUGGAAAAGAAUGGUGUUACUGAGACCCUUCAAGAUUCCCAGUGUAAUUCAAUAAAGAAAAGGCAACACAAAGGGGUUGUAUAGAAUUCGCCACAUUAUGGACCCAUGUCAUAGAGAGAAUCCACGGUGCAUUUGUUAGCUGCAUUUAAAUGACAACACUUUCAGAUCCAAGAUUUAUUUGGGAUAAAAAUUUACCUGGAUGCAAGGCUAUUCAGAAUGAAGAUUAAUGAUAUGGUUUGGCUGUGUCCCCACCCAAACUUCAUCUUGAAUUCCCACGUGUUGUGAGAGGGACCUGGUGGGAGAUAAUUGAACCAUGGGGGCAGGUCUUUCUCAUGCUGUUCUCAUGAGAGUGAAUAAGUCUCAUGAAACCUGAUGGUUUUAUAAGGGGGAAUUUCCCUGCACAAGCUCUCUCUCUGCCUUUUGCCAUCCAUGUAAGACGUGACUUGGUCCUCCUUGCCUUCUACCAUGAUUAUGAGGCCUCCCCAGCCACGUGGAACUGUGAGUCCAUUAAACCUCUUUCUUUUGUAAA
RNAcentral lists this long non-coding RNA (1188 nucleotides) under Homo sapiens (human). Its description in RNAcentral is "HIF1A stabilizing long noncoding RNA". The record is from RNAcentral. Lineage: Eukaryota; Metazoa; Chordata; Mammalia; Primates; Hominidae.